GGCUAAAGUGGGGGCUACUGUGGUCACGCACACUGUCAUGUCUUACUUUCAAGUGCUUGACUCUUCUGCUUUAAUCCUAGACCUGUCUGCUGUUGUGGCAUCAGUUAUGAAAACCUUCAGCUGGCACGUUGAAGUUACUUAGGUGAUUUCGCAUGUCUUUCGCUCCUUAGUGCAUAUGGGUGCAAAGGUUGUCUGUUUCAGAUUUCACAUGCCAUUCAAGCAAUAUAGCAAGAAUUUUCAGUGAAAUGGAAAUGAAAAUUAAUUAUCUGUGCCAUCAAAAUUACUUCAUGAUAAUUAUAUUUUUAAUUGCAUAUAGUAGAGAUCCUUCUUCACAUAGAAUUUCUGCUUUCUUUACAGUACCAUUACUAGGGCUCAAUAAGGAAAAACAAAGAGGAAAAGAGAUUGCAUAACUUGCUCCCAUUUACAAGUAUAAUUGUCUGUACAAAAUUGAACUUGGACAAAGCAAACAGAGUUUCUUUUCUGCAUUCAAACACCUGGUUAUUACAGAGAAGUAGCUUUGAAAAACAUUAGAGAAUACAGUAAGAAUGAAAGCAAUGCUUACUUGUCUAAAAACUAGAAUCCAAGAACAGCUACCUUUUCUAGUAUAAUUAACUCAAUACAGAGAAUCUUAGAACAGUGAUAUUAUUUCCUUUGAAAUUCUCACAGAGAUUAAAUUCUGACACACAUUUCACAGUUUCAAGCAGAUUCAGUCAAAUUUGACCCAUCUCUUAAAAUCCCUAUCUUUACAACUUGUGUUGCAAGUAACAUCUGUCUGAAUUGUAUCCUGCUGCUAAGUCCUUGUACUCUCUGCUGUCUGGAGGUUAACUUCUGCCCUGCUGGCAUAUGUACAUAGGUUCUGCUUGGAAAUAAGAUGCUCAGCAUUUUUCCAAUCUGUUAAUUGAAAAAAUGUAAAAAUGUUUUACAAUUUUCAGCAGCCAAAUGUAGGAAGCAAAAGACUACACAGAGCUUGUGUUCUAUAAACAAAAUUAGUCUGCCUACACAUGAUGACAGAAUCCAUUAUAGGCUUAUCCAUCAUUUUAAGCAUCCUAGAAAUAUUUAAAUGUAAUAAAUAUCAUAGCAACAAGAGGAGAUGAAGCCAGACAUACCUGCCUGACUCUUAACACCACAUAAUUCUUCUUUGCAUGUAAAGUAUGACCUACAACUCAUAAAAUAGUGCCUCUUCAGAAAUUGGUACCCCUUCUACCCUUAACUCACCCUCAGUUGUUCAAUGCCAUAUUAUUUUUGUUGAGGUGUUUGCUGCAUACUCAGGCCAGCUUUACCAUCUCCCUCUGUAGGUCCUCUGUCACAUGGUUGUCAAACUUCUUUUUCAAAAAGAAAAUAUAUUUUCAGAAAGUUGAUUUUUUAUAGAUAAUAGAUGUUUAGGGGGAAAAAAUAGGAAGCAGUACAUGUGACAACAAACCUGAAAGGGUAUAUAAACAUACCCUGUGGUGGGAGUGCAGGCACCAGCAGGUGGCAGCAAGCUGGGCAAUAAGACUUCAAUCUGCCUUCUGACUUCAAUCAGCAAGCAGAGCAGCAUCUCUGCUCAAGGGCCUGAGGAAGAGACACAGAUAAGAAAGAGUGGUGAAGCCUAAUUUAUGUUCCCUAGUAGUUUAACAAGAACAUGCAAACUCAUUUCAAGAGCAGUCAUGUUGUCUGUGUCUGGAUACCAUUCUUUACUAAAAUAUUAGAGGGAAGAGAUACAGGUUUGGAGUAUUAUAAGGCUGAUUGAAUUGGAACAUUCAAUAAGAAGACUGUGCAAGAGGAAUCUUAAUCUACUUAAUCUGCAGAUGUUUGCAGCAAAUUUGGCAUCGCUUCUGGACCAACUUGAAUAUUUGCUUAGACUUUGUGGAAAAAAGCAUUAUUUGCAUCAGGUAGACAUGGGAAAACCAAUGUAUUCUUAUCUGUAUUUAUUGUUAGAAAAGUUUUCAGUAGAACUUUUAGUCUCAUUUACAGCCCAGUAAAAUUAAUGAAAAUAUUAACCUCAACAAUUAUUGAAUUUUUAGAUUAAACUUUAUUCUAGUGUCUAUUCCUCUGCCAUGUCAGAUGGGGCGUGACCAGUGACUUCAAAAGGAUCAGGAGGAGACCUACAGUAUCACAAAAGAAACAUCUACAUAGGUAAAAUGGGUAGUCCUAAUUUUAAGGAGUGAACAAGUAAGUCAAGAUGUCAUUAUUCCAACUUCUAUAGCCCACUGAACAUAUAAAUAAUCUUUUUAUCUUUAUAGCUAUACACUAUAUAUAUAUAUAUAUGUAUAAAAAUAUUAAAAUACAAUAACUUAACACUGGGUAACUUCUAAUGAUAAAUUUUCAUUAAUAAUACGGGUCUAUUUUUAUGUAAAUAUAUUAUUGUAGAGUAUCUUCCAGUCUUUUUCAGGAUUGUUAAACUGAGAAGAGCAAUUGAAUAUUUGUCCUAUUUUUAUGUUAAAAAGUGAAUGGACUGAAAUGUUAAAUGUGAAUGUAAAUUUCUUAUUGCAACUUUUAUACUAAGUGUUUGCACUAUUAUAAUUUCUGGAAUCAAAUUAAAAAU
This is a long non-coding RNA of Taeniopygia guttata (zebra finch), 2524 nucleotides long. NCBI's taxonomy places the organism in Eukaryota, Metazoa, Chordata, Aves, Passeriformes, Estrildidae. The record is from Ensembl.